Molecule: ribosomal RNA, 442 nt
Filed under: uncultured bacterium
Lineage: Bacteria
Description: partial 16S ribosomal RNA
Rfam family: Bacterial small subunit ribosomal RNA
Source: RNAcentral
CCUACGGGAGGCUGCAGUGGGGAAUAUUGGGCAAUGGACGCAAGUCUGACCCAGCAACGCCGCGUGAAGGAAGAAGGCUCUCGGGUUGUAAACGUUCUUUAAGGGGGAAGAGCAGAAGACGGUACCCCUUGAAUAAGCUACGGCUAACUACGUGCCAGCAGCCGCGGAAAUACGUAGGUGGCAAUUGUUGUCCGGAUUUACGGGGUGUAAAGGGCGUGUAGCCGGGAGGUCAAGUCAGAUGUGAAAUCCCCCGGCUCAACCGCGGAACUGCAUUUGAAACUGUUUUUCUUGAGUGUCGGAGAGGUAAUCGGAAUUCCUAGUGUAGCGGUGAAAUGCGUAGAUAUUAGGAAGAACACCAGUGGCGAAGGCGGAUUACUGGACGACAACUGACGGUGAGGCGCGAAAGCGUGGGUAGUGAACAGGAUUAGAUACCCUUGUAGUC